AACGCGUACGCAAUCUGGCUACAGAUGGGGGAUAGCCCUGGGAAACUGGGAUUAAUACCGCAUAAAAUAAUGAUAUGGCAUCAUAUAAUUAUUAAAGGAGAGAUCCGUCUGUAGAUGAGCGUGCGUUCUAUUAGUUAGUUGGUGAGGUAACGGCUCACCAAGGCGAUGAUAGAUAGGGGGCGUGAGAGCGUGAUCCCCCACACGGGUACUGAGACACGGACCCG
RNAcentral lists this ribosomal RNA (224 nucleotides) under uncultured bacterium. Its description in RNAcentral is "partial 16S ribosomal RNA". It matches the Rfam family "Bacterial small subunit ribosomal RNA", at positions 112 to 334 of the family's 1533-position model. The record is from RNAcentral.